Molecule: ribosomal RNA, 252 nt
Filed under: uncultured bacterium
Lineage: Bacteria
Description: partial 16S ribosomal RNA
Rfam family: Bacterial small subunit ribosomal RNA
Source: RNAcentral
UACGAAGGGGGCUAGCGUUGCUCGGAAUUACUGGGCGUAAAGGGCGCGUAGGCGGACGUAUAUGUGCCCGGUGACAUCUGCACGCUCAACGUGCAGCGGUCUGGGUAGACAGUGCGACUGGAGGCAGGGAGAGGGAUGUGGAAUACCCGGUGGAGCGGUGAAAUGCGUAGAGAUCGGGUGGAACACCAGCGGCGAAGGCGGCAUCCUGGCCCUGAACUGACGCUGAGGCGCGAUAGCGUGGGGAGCAAACGG